Molecule: long non-coding RNA, 267 nt
Organism: Cygnus olor (mute swan)
Lineage: Eukaryota; Metazoa; Chordata; Aves; Anseriformes; Anatidae
Exons: 3
Source: RefSeq, a predicted model, not a curated record
UCCGUACCCCAUUCCCCCUCCCGUCCCCUCUCAUCGCCUCAGCUUCCGCUGCCACCAUGAGCCCCCCCCGGCCCCCCGCCCUUGUCCUGCUGCUCCUGGGGCUGGCUGCUGCUGCGCAGAGAGAGUCCGCCCCCUGCAUGCCGGGCCCGGGCCCGCUGGCGCUGCUGGUGGGCGCCGACGUCGCCAUGACGCUGCUGGUGGCGGGCGGGGCCUACUGCCUGGCCAGGAGGGGGCGCCCAGGUGGGCGGGGCCUAGAGGGGGCGGGGC